UAAACUGUAUUAUUUUAUAUCAAAUUACUAUGCAAUUUACUAAAUUGUAUUCAUUUUUAAUUAAACUGCCAUUAACCCAAGGGACCUAGCUGUCAAAAUUCUAUUUUCAUUUAUAACAUGGGGGAGAAAGGGGUGAGGAUCGCGAAACGGAAGUCAGACAACCAAAGGGGUUAAUCCCGUGUGGUAGUUUGGCAUUUAGAGAAAGAAGUGGGAAACACGGAAGUGAUUUCUCUGAGAAAGACUGCUGAGAGUUUUUCUGUGCCUGAGAUCAAGCCAAUAGCUAGCCAGUUCUGAGAACUGACAGCAUUUUGCACUACUGAAAACUCAACGGGGUCCCCACACCCCUGCCCAUGGAGCUCCCAGGACCAUUGACCAUCACAGAGACACACAUGACCCUCUGGAUCAGCUGAACCCUGGGAUUUCUGGGGAAAUAAUGGAACUGGCUCCGCAGGGAUGACAGUGGAGGUGCCCAGGGAAGCGUGGGUGAUGCUCUGUGGCCUCUGCAGUGACUAUGACGGUGCCACCAGCAAUGACCUGCAAGCACCUGACAUGCAGGUGCUGGCCGAGGCCUGGCAGGCACCUGACUUCAGCCAGUGAUGUGGAAAAUUGACAUUUCAUCUGGGUGGCCGCGCCUCACCGCUGACGUCAUCCUCAAAUGCCUCAGAUCCGGAAAACCCGGAUUUUUAUAACCCCCAAAACUGUGCUUUCGCCCCCAAAAUAAAACCUUUGAGAAAGGGUG
This is a long non-coding RNA of Parus major (Great Tit), 739 nucleotides long. RefSeq lists it as uncharacterized. Lineage: Eukaryota; Metazoa; Chordata; Aves; Passeriformes; Paridae. The transcript is spliced from 3 exons. The record is from RefSeq and is a predicted model, not a curated record.